CCAACCGCAUCCUCCAUCCGCCUGCCUGCAACUACAUAGAACAAUAAACACAAAAAAGGCUGAUUAUGGAUUUCAUAGUCAUCACUUCUAUAUUGAUCCGGUUUGUCUUUUUGAAGUGAUGGAAGAUGAUAAUGUACGGCGAAUCGGACAGCGUGUCCUCCGCCUGUGCCUGUGUGUCGGUGAUGGAGGUGUCCUAUUGAAGCUUUGAUACAAGAUCUUGACAGCCAUAGUGACCGGCGCAUUGAUCGAGUCAUUAACAGGAGGAGGCAGAACUAUGGCUUGGCGAGAUGUUCUUGAUCCUGGGAUGACCAGACAUACCUGUUUUCUGGCUUUUGGUGUCCUGUCCCUGACUGGAGCUGUCCCUGUUUUACAGUACAUUUGUGCAUUUAAAACACCACAAAUAGGAGGCUGGUUACCAGAGCAAUCGUACCGGAAUAAGCUGCUUGAAUGGAUACUUAAUCUGUGCACCCCACCCAGUGU
Cyprinus carpio carpio is the source of this 480-nucleotide long non-coding RNA. Lineage: Eukaryota; Metazoa; Chordata; Actinopteri; Cypriniformes; Cyprinidae. The record is from Ensembl.